AAGCCCGGCUAAAUACGUGCCAGCAGCCGCGGUAAUACGUAUGGGGCAAGGUUAUCCGGAAUUAUUGGGCGUAAAGAGUGCGUAGGUGGUUACCUAAGCGCAAGGUUUAACUUGAGGCUCAACCUCAUUCUGCCUUGCGAACUGGGCUACUUGAGUGCAGGAGGGGAAAGGGAAUUCCCAGUGUAGCGGUGAAAUGCGUAGAUAUUGGGAAGAACACCGGUGGCGAAGGCGCUUUCUGGACUGUAACUGACACUGAGGCACGAAAGCGUGGGGAGCAAACAGGAUUAGAUCCCUGGUAGUCCACGCCGUAAACGAUGAGCACUAGUUGUUGGGUACGAAUGUAUUCAGUGCGCAGUUAACGCAAUAAGUGCUCCGCCUGGGGAGUACGGUGGCAACACUAAAACUCAAAGAAUUGACGGGGACCCGCACAAGCAGCGGAGCAUGUGGUUUAAUUCGAAGCAACGCGAAAACCUUACCAGGGCUUGACAUCCCUCUGACCGGAUCUUAACCGAUCCUUUCUUCGGACAGAGUGACAGGUGGUGCAUGGUUGUCGUCAGCUCGUGUCGUGAGAUGUUGGGUUAAGUCCCGCACGAGCGCGACCCUUGUCGUCAGUUACUAACAUUAAGUUGAGGACUCUGACGAGACUGCCGGGUCAACUCGGAGGAAGGUGGGGAUGACGUCAAAUCAUCAUGCCCCUUAUGUUCUGGGCUCACACGUGCUACAAUGGCCGGUACAAUGAGAAGCAAUACAGCGAUGUGGAGCAAAUCACCAAACCGGUCCCAGUUCGGAUUGCAGGCUGCAACUCGCCUGCAUGAAGUCGGAGUUGCUAGAAUCGCGAAUCAGCAUGUCGCGGUGAAUGCGUUCCCGGGUCUUGCACACACCGCCCGUAA
Molecule: ribosomal RNA, 890 nt
Filed under: uncultured bacterium
Lineage: Bacteria
Description: bacterial SSU rRNA
Rfam family: Bacterial small subunit ribosomal RNA
Source: RNAcentral